AAAAUGCGAUAAGUAAUGUGAAUUGCAGAAUUCAGUGAAUCAUCGAAUCUUUGAACGCACAUUGCACCCGCCAGUAUUCUGGCGGGCAUGCCUGUUCGAGCGUCAUUUCAACCCUCAAGCCCCCGGGUUUGGUGUUGGGGAUCGUGCUGCGGUUCUACCGCGUCCCGGCCCCGAAAUCUAGUGGCGGUCUCGCUGCAGCCUCCAUUGCGUAGUAGCUAACACCUCGCAACUGGAACGCGGCGCGGCCAAGCCGUUAAACCCCCAACUUCUGAAUGUUGACCUCGGAUCAGGUAGGAAUACCCGCUGAACUUAAGC
Molecule: unclassified non-coding RNA, 315 nt
Filed under: plant metagenome
Description: partial contains 5.8S ribosomal RNA, internal transcribed spacer 2, and large subunit ribosomal RNA
Rfam family: 5.8S ribosomal RNA (bases 1-105)
Source: RNAcentral